RNAcentral lists this ribosomal RNA (860 nucleotides) under Triticum aestivum (bread wheat). Its description in RNAcentral is "partial small subunit ribosomal RNA". Lineage: Eukaryota; Viridiplantae; Streptophyta; Magnoliopsida; Poales; Poaceae. The record is from RNAcentral.
GCCGCGGUUGUGGAUGCGUGUUGGACAUCCUGCGGCUUACCCCGGCGCCUACUUGACGCCCCGAGCUCCCCUGUCUCUCCCUGGUAACCCUAGUCCCCCAAAUCCCCUCUCCUCACUCAUAUCCGACGACCUGGAAGAGGCCAAACUCGCGGUCAUCGUCAUCGUCGUCGAUCCCGCGGCCACCGGCCUCCACUCGUCGCGCCAAGACGUCGAGGAGCUCCGCCAUCGUCGUCUUCGUCGCCCUCGCCUUUCGGUUGGAUCUCGGACGGACUGCUGCCUCGCCAUCGCGCGGUCUUCUCCGCACGGCUGCCGCAUCUCGUCGACGAGCGCGGCGCGUCCAGCCACCCCUGCACCUUCCAACCAUGUCCAUGAGCUCCACCACUACGAGACCGACGCCGCUGCUACCCAGUACGACUACGGUGUUGACGACCCCUCUCUCUUGCCAGAGCAACUAGAUGGUGGAGCCCAGGAUCCAGACGCCACCUUCGACGACAACUGCUACUACACUGAGGGUGCCUACGACUACGUGGAGGCCGCCGACGACCAGGAGUAGUUAGGAGGCUCCCAGGCAGGAGGCCUUGCCUUUUCGAUCGAUGUUGCUUUUGUGCUAGCCUUCUUAAGGCAAAAACUUGUCUAACUUAUGUCUGUACUCAGAUAUUGUUGCUUCCGCUGACUCUUGUGUAUUCGAGCUUAUGUAUUCGAGCCCUUGAGGCCCCUGGCUUGUAAUAUAGAGCUUGUAUUAUUUAAAUUUGUGUCUAGAGUUGUGUUGUGAUAUCUUCCCGUGAGUCCUUGAUCUUGAUCGUAUACAUUUGCGUGUAUGAUUAGUGUACGAUUGAAUCGAGGGCGUCACACCAUCCCAG